RNAcentral lists this ribosomal RNA (326 nucleotides) under uncultured eukaryote. RNAcentral's name for it is "partial 18S ribosomal RNA". It matches the Rfam family "Eukaryotic small subunit ribosomal RNA", at positions 1470 to 1796 of the family's 1831-position model. The record is from RNAcentral.
CCCUUAGAUGUUCUGGGCCGCACGCGCGCUACACUGAUGCAUUCAACAAGCCUAGCCUUGACCGAGAGGUCCGGGUAAUCUUUGAAACUGCAUCGUGAUGGGGCUAGAUUAUUGCAAUUAUUAAUCUUCAACGAGGAAUGCCUAGUAAGCGUGAUUCAUCAAAUCGCGUUGAUUACGUCCCUGCCCUUUGUACACACCGCCCGUCGCUCUUACCGAUUGAAUGUGUUGGUGAGGAGCUCGGAUUGGCAGCAGUUGGUGGUUCGCCACCGGCUAUUGCUGAGAAGUCCUCCAAACCGCCCCAUUUAGAGGAAGGAGAAGUCGUAACA